CAUGCAUGUAUAAGUACAAACCUUCAUAAGGUGAAACCGCGAACGGCUCAUUAUAACAGCUAUAAUUUACUAGACCUUGAGCAAUUACAUGGAUACCUGUGGUAAUUCUAGAGCUAAUACAUGCACCGAAGUUGUUCCUCACGGAGCAAUGCAUUUAUUUGAGCAAAACCAGGCGGCUUCGGCCGUUACUGUUGAUUCAGAAUAACUAAGCUGAUCGCAUGGGCUUGUCCCGGCGACGUGUCUUUCAAGUGUCUGCCUUAUCAACUUUCGAUGGUAGUGUACGUGACUACCAUGGUGUUGACGGGUAACGGAGGAUAAGGGUUCGACUCCGGAGAAGGGGCCUGAGAAAUGGCCACUACGUCUAAGGAUGGCAGCAGGCGCGCAAAUUACCCACUCUCAGUUCGAGGAGGUAGUGACGAAAAAUAACAAGGCCGUUCUCUUUGAGGCCGGCCAUUGGAAUGGGUACAACUUAAACCCUUUAACGAGUAUCAAUGAGAGGGCAAGUCUGGUGCCAGCAGCCGCGGUAAUUCCAGCUCUCAAAAUGCAUAGAACCAUUGCUGCGGUUAAAAAGCUCGUAGUUGGAUCUGUGCCGGCGACAUGGUCCGCCUUAACCGGCGGUACUGUGCUCGUCGGCUUUGGGCCGGUCUUCGGACGGUCACCUUCACUGGUGGCCGCUCGUGGCUGGCUGGUUUACUUUGAGCAAAUCAGAGUGCUCAGCACAGGCGUCUCGCCGGAAUGUUCGUGCAUGGAAUAAUAGAAAAGGAUUUUGGUCCUCUUUUAUUGGUUUUGUGGACUGAGAUAAUGGUUAACAGAGACGGACGGGGGCAUUCGUAUUGCUGCGUGAGAGGUGAAAUUCUUGGACCGCAGCAGGACGGACUAC
RNAcentral lists this ribosomal RNA (880 nucleotides) under Paratylenchus sp. D PRS-2020. RNAcentral describes it as "SSU rRNA". It matches the Rfam family "Eukaryotic small subunit ribosomal RNA", at positions 50 to 943 of the family's 1831-position model. The record is from RNAcentral. Lineage: Eukaryota; Metazoa; Nematoda; Chromadorea; Rhabditida; Tylenchulidae.